Molecule: ribosomal RNA, 468 nt
Filed under: uncultured bacterium
Lineage: Bacteria
Description: partial 16S ribosomal RNA
Rfam family: Bacterial small subunit ribosomal RNA
Source: RNAcentral
GACGAACGCUGGCGGCGUGCUUAACACAUGCAAGUCGAACGGAAAGUCCCUGCUUUUGUGGGGUGCUCGAGUGGCGAACGGGUGAGUAACACGUGAGUAACCUGCCCUCGACUUUGGGAGAACUUCAGGAAACUGGGGAUAACACAGGACAGGAGCUCCUGCUUCAUGGUGGGGGGUGGAAAGUUUCGGCGGUUGGGGAUGGACUCGCGGCUUAUCAGCUUGUUGGUGGGGUAGUGGCUGACCAAGGCUUUGACGGGUAGCCGGCCGGGGAGGGUGACCGGCCACAUUGGGACUGAGAUACGGCCCAGACUCCUACGGGAGGCAGCGGUGGGGAAUAUUGCACAAUGGGCGGAAGCCUGAUGCAGCAACGCCGCGUGCGGGAUGACGGCCUUCGGGUUGUAAACCGCUUUCGCCUGUGACGAAGCGUGAGUGACGGUAAUGGGUAAAGAAGCACCGGCUAACUACGUG